GGAAACGAUGGCUAAUACCGCAUAAUGCCUUCGGGCCAAAGAGGGGGACCUUCGGGCCUCUCGCGUCAGGAUAUGCCUAGGUGGGAUUAGCUAGUUGGUGAGGUAAGGGCUCACCAAGGCGACGAUCCCUAGCUGGUCUGAGAGGAUGAUCAGCCACACUGGAACUGAGACACGGUCCAGACUCCUACGGGAGGCAGCAGUGGGGAAUAUUGCACAAUGGGCGCAAGCCUGAUGCAGCCAUGCCGCGUGUGUGAAGAAGGCCUUCGGGUUGUAAAGCACUUUCAGUCGUGAGGAAGGCGGUAAUGUUAAUAGCAUUAUCGUUUGACGUUAGCGACAGAAGAAGCACCGGCUAACUCCGUGCCAGCAGCCGCGGUAAUACGGAGGGUGCGAGCGUUAAUCGGAAUUACUGGGCGUAAAGCGCAUGCAGGUGGUUUGUUAAGUCAGAUGUGAAAGCCCGGGGCUCAACCUCGGAAUUGCAUUUGAAACUGGCAGACUAGAGUACUGUAGAGGGGGGUAGAAUUUCAGGUGUAGCGGUGAAAUGCGUAGAGAUCUGAAGGAAUACCGGUGGCGAAGGCGGCCCCCUGGACAGAUACUGACACUCAGA
This 604-nucleotide ribosomal RNA is filed under the name Vibrio sp. Its description in RNAcentral is "bacterial SSU rRNA". It matches the Rfam family "Bacterial small subunit ribosomal RNA", at positions 152 to 751 of the family's 1533-position model. Lineage: Bacteria; Pseudomonadati; Pseudomonadota; Gammaproteobacteria; Vibrionales; Vibrionaceae. The record is from RNAcentral.